This 447-nucleotide ribosomal RNA is filed under the name Aeribacillus sp. J18D015. RNAcentral describes it as "bacterial SSU rRNA". It matches the Rfam family "Bacterial small subunit ribosomal RNA", at positions 95 to 526 of the family's 1533-position model. Lineage: Bacteria; Bacillati; Bacillota; Bacilli; Caryophanales; Bacillaceae. The record is from RNAcentral.
GCGGCGGACGGGUGAGUAACACGUGGGCAACCUGCCCUGCAGACUGGGAUAACUUCGGGAAACCGGAGCUAAUACCGGAUAACACCGAAAACCGCAUGGUUUUCGGUUGAAAGGCGGCUUUUAGCUGUCACUGCAGGAUGGGCCCGCGGCGCAUUACCUAUUUGGUGAGGUAACGGCUCACCAAGGCGACAAUGCGUACCCAACCUGAGAGGGUGACCGGCCACACUGGGACUGAAACACGGCCCAAACUCCUACGGGAGGCAGCAGUAGGGAAUCUUCCGCAAUGGACGAAAGUCUGACGGAGCAACGCCGCGUGAGCGAAGAAGGUCUUCGGAUCGUAAAGCUCUGUUGUCAGGGAAGAACAAGUACCGUUCAAACAGGGCGGUACCUUGACGGUACCUGACGAGGAAGCCACGGCUAACUACGUGCCAGCAGCCGCGGUAAUAC